CAGCCGCCGCGGGAAUACGUAGGGUGCGAGCGUUAAUCGGAAUUACUGGGCGUAAAGCGUGCGCAGGCGGUUAUAUAAGUCAGAUGUGAAAUCCCCGGGCUCAACCUGGGAACUGCAUUUGAGACUGUAUGGCUAGAGUGUGUCAGAGGGGGGUAGAAUUCCACGUGUAGCAGUGAAAUGCGUAGAGAUGUGGAGGAAUACCGAUGGCGAAGGCAGCCCCCUGGGCCAAUACUGACGCUCAUGCACGAAAGCGUGGGGAGCAAACAGGAUUAGAUACCCCCGUAGUCCCUGUCUCUUAUAC
Molecule: ribosomal RNA, 301 nt
Filed under: uncultured bacterium
Lineage: Bacteria
Description: partial 16S ribosomal RNA
Rfam family: Bacterial small subunit ribosomal RNA
Source: RNAcentral